AUUACUGAGUUUACGCUCUAUAACCCUUUGUGAACAUACCUAUAACUGUUGCUUCGGCGGGCAGGGUCUCCGUGACCCUCCCGGCCUCCCGCCCCCGGGCGGGUCGGCGCCCGCCGGAGGAUAACCAAACUCUGAUUUAACGACGUUUCUUCUGAGUGGUACAAGCAAAUAAUCAAAACUUUUAACAACGGAUCUCUUGGUUCUGGCAUCGAUGAAGAACGCAGCGAAAUGCGAUAAGUAAUGUGAAUUGCAGAAUUCAGUGAAUCAUCGAAUCUUUGAACGCACAUUGCGCCCGCCAGCAUUCUGGCGGGCAUGCCUGUUCGAGCGUCAUUUCAACCCUCAAGCUCUGCUUGGUGUUGGGGCCCUACAGCUGAUGUAGGCCCUCAAAGGUAGUGGCGGACCCUCCCGGAGCCUCCUUUGCGUAGUAACUUUACGUCUCGCACUGGGAUCCGGAGGGACUCUUGCCGUAAAACCCCCCAAUUUUCCAAAGGUUGACCUCGGAUCAGGUAGGAAUACCCGCUGAACUUAAGCAUAUCAAUAA
Molecule: ribosomal RNA, 541 nt
Filed under: fungal endophyte
Lineage: Eukaryota; Fungi
Description: eukaryotic LSU rRNA
Rfam family: 5.8S ribosomal RNA (bases 177-330)
Source: RNAcentral